Molecule: long non-coding RNA, 558 nt
Organism: Olea europaea var. sylvestris
Lineage: Eukaryota; Viridiplantae; Streptophyta; Magnoliopsida; Lamiales; Oleaceae
Exons: 2
Source: RefSeq, a predicted model, not a curated record
AGAAUAAUGAAAAAGCCAAAAAGGUACAACUAGCAAAACCAAUGUUUUCCUAAUAAAUACUGACCAGGUUCAACGAACCUGCAAGCUCCUCCAUCUUUCUUACACUGUUUAAUGUUCAAUUCCAGCACAUAGAAUCCUUACAAACAAUGUUCAUAAUAUGAAAUGGAAAAAUAAUUUCCAUUUCUUGUUGAGUUUUGGCGCUGUUCAGUUCUUCCUAUGAGGUUCAAGGGAAGCAUUUUUCUUGCUCAGCUUUCAUCAUGCAAGGAAACAGAAAAAACACUGGAAAAGAAAUUGAACAUGAAGCCUGGAUACUAUUCAACUGCUGCCCAGAAUUCCUAGCAACAGUGUCUUAGUAUGUGUCCUUGUGCUGAUAUACAACAAGAGUUCCCCUUCAAACUUCAAGUUUACGUUAUGGCAUGUUUGAUACUGGAAAUUAAAUCCUGUUAUUCAUUGUAAUUUUGUGACGUAUUCAGUACUAUGUGACAAAUAUGCAUUUGGUUUUAUUCUUAAUAAUUCUAAUCUAUAUUGUGUAAUCAGACAGUAUAUUCGAUUUGUUUA